CCUACGGGUGGCAGCAGUAGGGAAUUUUGCGCAAUGGGCGAAAGCCUGACGCAGCAACGCCGCGUGAUCGAGACGCCCUUCGGGGUGUAAAGAUCUGUCAGUGGGGACGAAGAUGACGGUACCUGGGGAGGAAGCUCCGGCUAACUACGUGCCAGCAGCCGCGGUAAUACGUAGGGAGCGAGCGUUGUCCGGAAUUACUGGGUGUAAAGGGAGCGUAGGCGGGACUGCAAGUUGGGUGUCAAAUCUACCGGCUCAACCGGUAGCCGCACUCAAAACUGCAGUUCUUGAGUGAAGUAGAGGCAGGCGGAAUUCCUAGUGUAGCGGUGAAAUGCGUAGAUAUUAGGAGGAACACCAGUGGCGAAGGCGGCCUGCUGGGCUUUUACUGACGCUGAGGCUCGAAAGUGUGGGGAGCAAACAGGAUUAGAUACCCCAGUAGUC
RNAcentral lists this ribosomal RNA (438 nucleotides) under uncultured bacterium. RNAcentral's name for it is "partial 16S ribosomal RNA". It matches the Rfam family "Bacterial small subunit ribosomal RNA", at positions 338 to 795 of the family's 1533-position model. The record is from RNAcentral.